This 455-nucleotide ribosomal RNA is filed under the name uncultured Rhodopseudomonas sp. RNAcentral's name for it is "partial 16S ribosomal RNA". Lineage: Bacteria; Pseudomonadati; Pseudomonadota; Alphaproteobacteria; Hyphomicrobiales; Nitrobacteraceae. The record is from RNAcentral.
CACGAAGUUAGCCGGGGCUUAUUCUACGGGUACCGUCAUUAUCUUCCCCGUUAAAAGAGCUUUACAACCCUAGGGCCUUCAUCACUCACGCGGCAUGGCUGGAUCAGGCUUGCGCCCAUUGUCCAAUAUUCCCCACUGCUGCCUCCCGUAGGAGUCUGGGCCGUGUCUCAGUCCCAGUGUGGCUGAUCAUCCUCUCAGACCAGCUACUGAUCGUCGCCUUGGUAGGCCAUUACCCUACCAACUAGCUAAUCAGACGCGGGCCGAUCUUUCGGCGAUAAAUCUUUCCCCGUAAGGGCUUAUCCGGUAUUAGCUGAAGUUUCCCUCAGUUGUUCCGAACCAAAAGGUACGUUCCCACGUGUUACUCACCCGUCUGCCACUGACAUAUUGCUAUGCCCGUUCGACUUGCAUGUGUUAAGCCUGCCGCCAGCGUUCGCUCUGAGCCAGGAUCAAACUCU